This 32-nucleotide small RNA is filed under the name Romboutsia lituseburensis. Its description in RNAcentral is "T-box". Lineage: Bacteria; Bacillati; Bacillota; Clostridia; Peptostreptococcales; Peptostreptococcaceae. The record is from RNAcentral.
AAUUAAGGUGGUAACGCGAGCUUUUCGUCCUU